AGAAAAGUAAGCUAAGACAAAGCUAAUGGGUUCAUACCCCGUAAAUAGAGUGAACACUCUCUUCUCUA
Molecule: transfer RNA, 68 nt
Filed under: Heterotermes crinitus
Lineage: Eukaryota; Metazoa; Arthropoda; Insecta; Blattodea; Rhinotermitidae
Description: tRNA-Met
Source: RNAcentral